GCCAGCGUAGCUUAGCGGUAGAGCGGCUGACUUGUAAUCAGCAGGUCGAGGGUUCAAAUCCCUCCGCUGGCU
Molecule: transfer RNA, 72 nt
Filed under: Thermoplasmatota archaeon
Lineage: Archaea; Methanobacteriati; Thermoplasmatota
Description: tRNA-Thr
Rfam family: tRNA
About the family: Transfer RNA (tRNA) molecules are approximately 80 nucleotides in length. Their secondary structure includes four short double-helical elements and three loops (D, anti-codon, and T loops).
Source: RNAcentral